CCUACGGGAGGCAGCAGUGGGGAAUAUUGCACAAUGGGGGAAACCCUGAUGCAGCGACGCCGCGUGAGUGAAGAAGUAUUUCGGUAUGUAAAGCUCUAUCAGCAGGGAAGAAAAUGACGGUACCUGACUAAGAAGCCCCGGCUAACUACGUGCCAGCAGCCGCGGUAAUACGUAGGGGGCAAGCGUUAUCCGGAUUUACUGGGUGUAAAGGGAGCGUAGACGGCCAGACAAGUCAGAAGUGAAAGCCCAGGGCUCAACCCUGGGACUGCUUUUGAAACUGCCGGGCUGGAGUGCAGGAGAGGUAAGCGGAAUUCCUAGUGUAGCGGUGAAAUGCGUAGAGAUCGGGAGGAACACCAGUGGCGAAGGCGGCCUGCUGGGCUCUAACUGACGCUGAGGCACGAAAGCGUGGGUAGCAAACAGGAUUAGAUACCCGAGUAGUC
RNAcentral lists this ribosomal RNA (440 nucleotides) under uncultured bacterium. RNAcentral's name for it is "partial 16S ribosomal RNA". It matches the Rfam family "Bacterial small subunit ribosomal RNA", at positions 338 to 795 of the family's 1533-position model. The record is from RNAcentral.